AGAACAAUUCGAAACUAAUUCUCGAACCAUAAAUACAAAGAAACCCGACCCGAGAACCAAAAGUAGGAAUCUCUCUCCGCUUCUGGUCAGUUUGCCCUAACCCCAUCUCAGGUAAUUCCCAAUUUCGAACCUAAUUUCAAAUCUGAAGACGGGCGAACUGGGUCUCCCAAAUAGAAAAACCCUGGUCCUUGUUUUACUACUGCCCUCUCUAAAACCUCGCUCCUUCCGAUAUCCCUCAAGGUAGUACAGCGACGUUGUUCGUUUCGAAGCUCUUUUUCUUUCGAAGCCCAGAGGAUUCUCUCAUUCCGUGGUUCGCUCUUUCUUCUGCACUGUGAUUCCAGGUCAUCAAUCAGAGCUUUUCGUGGUUUCUGUACAUUUUUGCGGGGAGAAGAAAGAACGGAGAACGAGCAGAGGGGAAGAGCCGAGGACCAUACCUGGACAUCCCGUCGGAACAAAGGAAAGAUGCAGAAGCUGCCUACGCCGGAGUGAACGGCUGCCGACGGUGUUGAGAAGGCUGAUGUGCCGCCGCCGACAAUCCACCGAAUGAGACCACUUUCGAUGGGCUUUUAGUGGUGGUCACACUUUGACUAAUCAAAUUAGUGGCAGCCUUGAACGGAUUAGGAAGUGAAGGGAAUGAACUUGACCGAUUUUGCGAAUCAAAAUACUCUUGUGAAAAAUUGAAGUUUGGAUAUCAAUUCAAGGUGUGGUUUAAGGUCUCUUUCCAAUCAGAGUUUUCUGAAUCUGAAACUGUGGUUGGAAUGGAGUCUCUACUAGGUUCGACCAAGCAUCCAGACAUGAUAACGAAGGAUCACAUGGCCAAAAACUAGUUCCAUGGUUAAACUGGGAAGAAUGGAACUCUGUGAGACAGUCUCUCUUCUCUUCUUCUCAGGACUCUGUUGGCUUUGCUCUUCGAAGAGUAUCUGCAUGGCGAAGCAGAGGAUGUCUUCCAGUUGUGGUUGAAGUUACUGCUUCAAUCAUUGAAAUUCAGCAACAAGACCCCUUUUUCAGGUAUACGCGUGUGGUAUAUGUCCAUAUAGGCUGGUGCUCUUGAUUAAUUAGAAAAACCUAUAAGACUAACAGUGCUUGUAAUCUGGCAUAUUCUAGUUCCCUUACCACAUUCCUGUACUUUCUAAUAUUAACUGCUUAUUAGUCAGGUUUUAUGCCAUGUGUGACUGUGUGAUAACUUUGAAAAAUUACAAGCUCUCCUAGUUCAAUGAUAUUGAAUAAAAUAAUAGAUUUGGAUCCCCAUUUGCGGCCAGAGCACUCAAGACCCAUAGCCAAGCCUCUGUCCAUGGCAAGGAAGCCUAUCCUUCAUUAUCUAUCAAAUAAAAGAUUUCAUCCAUGGGGCAUAGCUCACUUUUCCAAAUUAUUUUUGGGCUUUGCUCUUGUUGUUAGACCCAUUUGUGCCUACAUUAUUUCUUUCACAUCUAAAAUAUCAAAUCAACCACCUAGUUGCUUUUUCUGUGAAAUAAUCCUAGUAUUUGAACCCUUCAGAUUCUAUUACUCACCUUAUUUUGAGGAUUGAAUAAUUCAAAGAUUCUGGUCAGUCCACAGAAGAUCUUUUGUCUUAGCUCAAGAAAUGUUUUGUCUAGAAACCAUGUAUUGGAUAAAAGAAUUAUCUUCCAUUAUCUGGGCACCAUUGAAUCCCUCCUUUAUCACCUUAUGGACAUUUAGAAUAUUUUGUUUUUAUUUUGUGAUAAGAAACAAAAAUGUAUUAAACAUGAGUAAAAAUAACAUAGAAAGAUGAGGAGUCCUCCCUAUAGUUACAAAAAAAUUGAUAAAAAAUAUGGCUAAACCCUUCCACUACACAAUGAGACUUAUCCAAAUGGUUUAGUCUAAAAGAAAUGCAAUAGCAUCUCCUUAAACUCAAUCAAAACUCCUCUUGUU
This is a long non-coding RNA of Vitis riparia (riverbank grape), 1887 nucleotides long. RefSeq lists it as uncharacterized. The transcript is spliced from 5 exons. The record is from RefSeq and is a predicted model, not a curated record. Lineage: Eukaryota; Viridiplantae; Streptophyta; Magnoliopsida; Vitales; Vitaceae.